AACGAAUGCUGGCGGCAGGCUUAACACAUGCAAGUCGAACGCUCCGCAAGGAGAGUGGCAGACGGGUGAGUAACACGUGGGAACGUACCCUUUACUACGGAACAACUCCGGGAAACUGGAGCUAAUACCGUAUGUGCCCUCUGGGGGAAAGAUUUAUCGGUAAAGGAUCGGCCCGCGUUGGAUUAGCUAGUUGGUGGGGUAAAGGCCUACCAAGGCGACGAUCCAUAGCUGGUCUGAGAGGAUGAUCAGCCACAUUGGGACUGAGACACGGCCCAAACUCCUACGGGAGGCAGCAGUGGGGAAUAUUGGACAAUGGGCGCAAGCCUGAUCCAGCCAUGCCGCGUGUGAUGAAGGCCUUAGGGUUGUAAAGCACUUUCACCGGAGAAGAUAAUGACGGUAUCCGGAGAAGAAGCCCCGGCUAACUUCGUGCCAGCCGCCGCCGUAA
RNAcentral lists this ribosomal RNA (445 nucleotides) under uncultured bacterium. RNAcentral describes it as "partial 16S ribosomal RNA". It matches the Rfam family "Bacterial small subunit ribosomal RNA", at positions 29 to 523 of the family's 1533-position model. The record is from RNAcentral.